GAUGAACGCUGGCGGCGUGCCUAACACAUGCAAGUCGAGCGGAUGGACGAGAAGUUUGCCUGUCUGAUGCUAGGGGCGGAUGGGUGAGGAACACGUGGAUAACCGACCUUUAAGAAUGGGAUAACUUCGGGAAACCGGAUCUAACAUCGGAUAAGAUUUUGAACCGCAUGGUUCUUCAGUGAAAGACGGUUUUGCUGACACUUAUAGAUGGAUCCGCGCUGCAUUAGCUAGUUGGUAAGGUAACGGCUUACCAAGGCUACGAUGCGUAGCCGAUCUGAGAGGAUGAUCGGCCACACUGGAACUGAGACACGGUCCAGACUCCUACGGGAGGCAGCAGUAGGGAAUCUUCGGCAAUGGGCGAAAGCCUGACGGAGCAACGCCGCGUGUGUGAAGAAGGUCUUCGGAUCGUAAAGCUCUGUUAGUAGGGAAGAACGUAUGUAAAAUUAAAUGUGCACGUCUUGACGGUACCUAAUCAAAAAGCAACGGCUAACUACGUG
RNAcentral lists this ribosomal RNA (497 nucleotides) under uncultured bacterium. RNAcentral's name for it is "partial 16S ribosomal RNA". It matches the Rfam family "Bacterial small subunit ribosomal RNA", at positions 28 to 507 of the family's 1533-position model. The record is from RNAcentral.